RNAcentral lists this long non-coding RNA (1415 nucleotides) under Felis catus (domestic cat). RNAcentral describes it as "lncRNA (ENSFCAG00000052638.1)". Lineage: Eukaryota; Metazoa; Chordata; Mammalia; Carnivora; Felidae. The record is from RNAcentral.
AAUAAAAAUACAGAAACAACACCAAACAUUUAUCAUCCUCAGAGUUUCUAUGUGUCAAGAGUUCAGUGUGGCUUGGCCAGGUGGCUCUGGCUCAGGGUCUUUCAUGAGGUUGCCAUCAUUGGAAGGCUUCCAAGGUGGCUCACUCACAGGAAUCGUUGAUGUUAGGGGUUGGUAGAAGGCCUCAGUUCCUCCCACAUAGUUCCAGCCCCACAGUCUUGCUUCACUGUCCUCCUAACCUGAUGGCUGACUUCCCUCAGAGCAAGUGAUCUGAGAGAAAGAGAAACAGAGAGACAGAAAGAGAGAAAAAGAGAUCAAUCUAGGCAGAAGCUAUCCUUCUUAUGACCAGGCCUUGGAAACUACAGCAAUACUUCUACCACAUUCUAUUCAUUAGAAGUGAGUCACUGAGUAUGGAUGGGAGGUUACAUUUUAUUUUUUGAAGGGAGGAGGUCAAAGUUUUGUAGAUGGGUUAAAAACCACCAUACAUAUGAAAAAAAAAGGAAAAAAAUAGCCUUUUAGGUCUGCACUCACUCAUCCUCACCUGUUAUAUCUUCUUAUUUUUUAUCUCCAGUCUGGAACAAAGAGGCCCCGAGGCCCAGUGGGAGAUUUGGGCAGCAGAGGACAGCCCACCCGCAUGGACCACAUAAGCUCCAGGGCAAGGACUACCACCAGCUUCUCUUAUUCUGGCAUGUUCCUGCAUUCCACUGCUGCUGUAGUAAAACUCACCUGUUAGAAAUACAGGUCAAAAAUCAAUUAGGGGGAGGAGCAUAGAGAUGCAACAAAGCCUUGAACUGAAUUAUUAACUACUACCUAACACUCCUGUGCUAAGUCUCAUCCUUCUAAGCCAAGACAAAGGGAGAAAUGGAGUAAGUGAUGUGCUUCUCCUAGAAACAGGAAGGAGAAAACAAGCUUAUCUAGAUUACUGACUUUGGGCUCCCAGUGAGCAGGGGGGAGCAUUCAGAGGCUGAGGCCCAAAGGAAGGGAUACCAGACAAUUGCAUAAAUAUGCAUUGCUGCUAUGCAGAAGAGGGAAACAUAUUUUAGGUAACUGAUUAUUGCAAAGACAUUAAUCAAAUUAAGACUAUUAUAACUGGUUAGAAGCAUUUCUGCUAGAACUUAAGCUAAUACAGACCAGCUACCAGGUCAUUUGGCCUAGGAGCAGAAAAUUUAAAUUCCCAAAGAAGCUGGGUUAGGAAAAUGACAGAUUGAAACAGGACGUCUGUAAUACAGAAGGGAGCAGUGGGGACUGUGGCAAAGUAAGACCUUAAAGGGAUACUCCUUAUACUCAGCCCCAGCUGACCACCAUCAUGUAGAGAUGCAGGUUCAGUGUAGAGAGUCAGACUUUUUGAAAGACGUUGGGAAUCUGAAUUCAUGUGACAUCUCCAAUUUCUAAACAUAGGCAAUUAAUUGAAAACAUUA